Molecule: ribosomal RNA, 253 nt
Filed under: uncultured bacterium
Lineage: Bacteria
Description: partial 16S ribosomal RNA
Rfam family: Bacterial small subunit ribosomal RNA
Source: RNAcentral
UACGUAGGGACCAAGCGUUGUUCGGAUUUACUGGGCGUAAAGGGCGCGUAGGCGGCAAUUCAAGUCAUCUGUGAAAUCUCCGGGCUUAACUCGGAACGGUCAGAUGAUACUGCUUUGCUAGAGUACAGAAGGGGCAAUCGGAAUUCCCGGUGUAGCGGUGAAAUGCGCAGAUAUCGGGAGGAACACCGGUGGCGAAGGCGGUUCUCUGGGCCUUACCUGACGCUGAGGAGCGAAAGCGUGGGGAGCGAACAGG